Molecule: small RNA, 750 nt
Filed under: Pongo abelii (Sumatran orangutan)
Lineage: Eukaryota; Metazoa; Chordata; Mammalia; Primates; Hominidae
Description: retained intron
Source: RNAcentral
UUGUUUCUGGUCAAAAUGGCUGGCAAGCAGGCUGUUUCAGCAUCAGGCAAGUGGCUGGAUGGUAUUCGAAAAUGGUAUUACAAUGCUGCAGGAUUCAAUAAACUGGGGUUAAUGCGAGAUGAUACAAUAUACGAGGAUGAAGAUGUAAAAGAAGCCAUAAGAAGGCUUCCUGAGAACCUUUAUAAUGACAGGAUGUUUCGCAUUAAGAGGGCACUGGACCUGUCCUUGAAGCAUCAGAUCUUGCCUAAAGAGCAGUGGACCAAAUAUGAAGAGGUAGCACAGCUUUAUCUACCUGACAGUGUUGCUCAUUAAGGAUGGAGUUUUAGAAACAAGAGAAACAUGUUCAUUUGUGUAGCGUUAGAGUUCUCUGAGUCAUGUCAAAUAAAUAUGUGAGGUUAAUAAAGCAAAUGUUAUUUCCGUUUUAGAAGAAAACCACAUUGAGUCUUAUGUGUGAAAUGAUUCUUCUGAAAUUACUAAGCAAGUCUCUAAUAUAGAGAGCCAGGACUAAAAUCCAGGUCUGUUGCCUCCCAGGUCAUUGCUGUUCCACCUCUGCACUCUGCUUCCUACUUAGAUGAAAAGAUCAGCCCAUUGAGUGGCCCUCCAGAUCCCAAGAAGAGCUUCUGUGAAGCAAACUCUCACCCCUUGAACUGCAUUGAAACUAGGCAAAGGCCCGUAGAUACUCAUUUCUUUUUCUUCCCGAAAAGACUUCCCUCUCAUAACCUAUCAAAGCAACUUAUCACACCAUCACCA